UAUGGAGCCAGCACUUCAUAACAGGACCA
Molecule: non-coding RNA, 29 nt
Filed under: Rattus norvegicus (Norway rat)
Lineage: Eukaryota; Metazoa; Chordata; Mammalia; Rodentia; Muridae
Source: RNAcentral